Molecule: non-coding RNA, 117 nt
Filed under: Chlorocebus sabaeus (green monkey)
Lineage: Eukaryota; Metazoa; Chordata; Mammalia; Primates; Cercopithecidae
Source: Rfam by way of RNAcentral
GCCAGGUGUGGUGGCUCACACCUGUAAUCCCAGCACUUUGGGAGGCUGAGGUGGGUGGAUCACCUGAGGUCAGGAGUUUGAGACCAACCUGGCCAACAUGGCGAAACCCCAUCUCUA